UAUGUUAUAGUAUUGUUGUGGUA
Molecule: non-coding RNA, 23 nt
Filed under: Arabidopsis thaliana (thale cress)
Lineage: Eukaryota; Viridiplantae; Streptophyta; Magnoliopsida; Brassicales; Brassicaceae
Source: RNAcentral